GACGAACGCUGGCGGCGUGCUUAACACAUGCAAGUCGAACGGUGAAGCGCCUUCCUUUUUGGUGGGUGUGGAUGAGUGGCGAACGGGUGAGUAACACGUGAGUAACCUGCCCCCUUCUUCUGGAUAACCGCAUGAAAGUGUGGCUAAUACGGGAUAUUCUGGGUCUGUCGCAUGAUGGGUCUGGGAAAGAUAUUGUUUCGGUGGGGGAUGGGCUCGCGGCCUAUCAGCUUGUUGGUGGGGUGAUGGCCUACCAAGGCGGUGACGGGUAGCCGGCCUGGGAGGGUGGACGGUCACACUGGGACUGAGACACGGCCCAGACUCCUACAGGAGGCAGCAGUGGGGAAUAUUGCACAAUGGGCGCAAGCCUGAUGCAGCGACGCCGCGGGAGGGAUGGAGGCCUUCGGGUUGUGAACCUCUUUCGCCAGUGAAGCAGGCCUGCCUAGUUUGUGGGUGGGUUGACGGUAGCUGGAGAAGAAGCGCCGGCUAACUACGUG
RNAcentral lists this ribosomal RNA (494 nucleotides) under uncultured bacterium. Its description in RNAcentral is "partial 16S ribosomal RNA". It matches the Rfam family "Bacterial small subunit ribosomal RNA", at positions 28 to 507 of the family's 1533-position model. The record is from RNAcentral.